ACUGGGUACAGUGGUGCAUGCCUGCAAUCCCAAUCACUUGGGAGGCUGAGGCAGGAGGAUCACAAGUUUGAGGCCAGUUUAGCAAGUGAGCAAGGCCUAAGCAUCUUAGUGAGACCCUGUUUCAA
This 125-nucleotide small RNA is filed under the name Marmota monax (woodchuck). The record is from RNAcentral. Lineage: Eukaryota; Metazoa; Chordata; Mammalia; Rodentia; Sciuridae.